CCUUUAGCACAGAGUAUUAAAGGUAACGCCUGCCCAGUGAUANAAUUAAACGGCCGCGGGAUCCUCCACCGUGCAAAGGUAGCAUAAUCACUUGUCCCCUAAAUAGUGACUAGUAUGAACGGCCAAAUGAAGAUUUUACUGUCUCUUAUGGCCAAUCUAUGAAACUAAACUAUCAGUACAAAAGCUGAUAUAUUAACAUAAGACGAAAAGACCCUGUGGAACUUUNNAAGCACAACCCACCAUANNAUNGGGCCACCUGCUUUUAGUUGGGGCAACUUUGGAAAAAAACAAAACUUCCAAUAAAAAUUUAAGAUUAACACAUCUACAUCAUAUACACACCCGACCCAACACAUGUUGAUCAAAGAACCAAGCUACCCCAGGGAUAACAGCGCCAUCCCCUCUAAGAGCCCAAAUCGACGAGCGGGGUUUACGACCUCGAUGUUGGAUCAGGGCCCCCAAACAGUGCAACAGCUGUUAAUGGUUUGUUUGUUCAACAAUUAAAGCCCUACGUGAUCUGAGUUAAGAACCGGAGC
This 533-nucleotide ribosomal RNA is filed under the name Pholidobolus sp. RNAcentral's name for it is "partial large subunit ribosomal RNA". It matches the Rfam family "Bacterial large subunit ribosomal RNA", at positions 1831 to 2622 of the family's 2925-position model. The record is from RNAcentral. Lineage: Eukaryota; Metazoa; Chordata; Lepidosauria; Squamata; Gymnophthalmidae.